This is a non-coding RNA of Candidatus Kaiserbacteria bacterium, 1215 nucleotides long. The record is from Rfam. Lineage: Bacteria; Candidatus Kaiseribacteriota.
GGGGCUGGAGAAGGUCCCAAGCGUAUGGCUGUUCGCCAUUUAAAAAGGUACGCGAGCUGGGUUCAAACCGUUCAGCAUCUCAAUCCAAGGUUCGACCUUAGAAAAUUGGGAGAUUGAACGGUUUGAACCCACGAGGAAAUGUUAGGUGCGUGGAGACGCACUGCUUGCCCAGCACUAACGGAUGUUAGUGCUGGGUGAAGAAGACAUACUUACGGCGGUCGCGCGUAGGAAUGCGCGCGUAAGCAAAUCAACUGAUAUCGGUGAAAUCCGCUAAUGCGGCGGACAACACCGAGGGAAGUCGGCAGCUCGCUUAAGAAAGCGACUGCACUUGGAUUUUCUAAAGCGGAGUACCGCUAAGAAAAUCUCGGCGCCCGUAGAGACUGAAUGUUGAUCACCCGAACCGAUUUACUCUGAGUAAGUCGAAGGGUGGUGUUACAGUCCGAUCCCCGCAGUAAUGCGGGCAAACCCCGUAAAACACAUGUGAAUGUGCCACGGGGUGAACUAGAUGCGUGAGACAGGUUGGUCUCCUAUCUACUACAGGCGUUGAUUCUUGAGGAGGGUCGUCCCUAGUAAAGAAUUGCUACUUCAGAGAGAGAUCUCUGAUGACAACGUGGCUUAUAACGGUGAAGCCUUCAUAUGUUUUGAUUGAGAAUUUGUUCAUGCGCUGGUCCGCGCAGUUCAGAUUUGUUGAAGAUCAGAACCGCUUUAAGGUAAUACCGUGGGAAGUCGUUAGUGUACUGAAAAAUGGUGCGGUCAGUGGCGUCUAUGUUUUUACCGGGACAACGCAUUCGUUCGGUGGAGCCUGCGGGCUAAGAAGCCGAAUCCAGUGCCGGGAGGAAAUAGACUUUGGAUUCGGGCGAGGCGCCUUGCCCUGAAACCGAGAUGACCAAGCCAGAGUAGGGGUGGGGGCGUUCCGAGAACGCGCCCCACCUCACCAUUUUUCAGUACAUUAAUUGACCCCGUAACGACUUGCGCUGAAAGAUACGCGGACUCAUGUGUUGAGGAAUCAUUCUUAGAGAAUGACAGCUCGCAUGGGUAAGAUGCCACCGUCCUCGUCCCGAGCUGGGAACGGAUGAAGCAUAUAAGCGGGAAGCGUGCUCCAAGAUUAGGAAUCGUUAUGAGACUCCUAGGAGAUGACUAGGUUGAUAGGCUCUAGGUGGAAGUGCCGCGAGGCAUGGAGCCGAGGAGUACUAAUAUGUCCAGUCUCUCGUGCGG